UGGGGAAUUUUGCACAAUGGGGGCAACCCUGAUGCAGCGACGCCGCGUGAUUUAGAAGGCCUUCGGGUUGUAAAAAUCUUUUGUAUAGGAAGAAAAUGACAGUACUAUACGAAUAAGGUCCGGCUAAUUACGUGCCAGCAGCCGCGGUAAUACGUAAGGACCGAGCGUUGUCCGGAAUCAUUGGGCGUAAAGGGUACGUAGGCGGUUAAAAAAGUUAGAAGUGAAAGGCUAUAGCUCAACUAUAGUAAGCUUUUAAAACUGUUUAACUUGAGAGAUGGAAGGGAAAGUGGAAUUCCUAGUGUAGCGGUGAAAUGCGCAGCUAUUAGGAGGACUCCCGGUGGCGAUGGCGACUUUCUGGCCAUUAUCUGACGCUGAGGUACGAAAGCGUGGGUAGCAAACAGG
Molecule: ribosomal RNA, 402 nt
Filed under: Actinomycetes bacterium
Lineage: Bacteria; Bacillati; Actinomycetota; Actinomycetes
Description: Actinobacteria bacterium partial 16S ribosomal RNA
Rfam family: Bacterial small subunit ribosomal RNA
Source: RNAcentral